This 497-nucleotide ribosomal RNA is filed under the name uncultured bacterium. Its description in RNAcentral is "partial 16S ribosomal RNA". It matches the Rfam family "Bacterial small subunit ribosomal RNA", at positions 28 to 507 of the family's 1533-position model. The record is from RNAcentral.
GAUGAACGCUGGCGGCGUGCCUAAUACAUGCAAGUCGAGCGAACAGACGAGGAGCUUGCUCCUCUGACGUUAGCGGCGGACGGGUGAGUAACACGUGGAUAACCUACCUAUAAGACUGGGAUAACUUCGGGAAACCGGAGCUAAUACCGGAUAAUAUAUUGAACCGCAUGGUUCAAUAGUGAAAGACGGUUUUGCUGUCACUUAUAGAUGGAUCCGCGCCGCAUUAGCUAGUUGGUAAGGUAACGGCUUACCAAGGCAACGAUGCGUAGCCGACCUGAGAGGGUGAACGGCCACACUGGAACUGAGACACGGUCCAGACUCCUACGGGAGGCAGCAGUAGGGAAUCUUCCGCAAUGGGCGGAAGCCUGACGGAGGAACGCCGCGUGAGUGAUGAAGGUCUUCGGAUCGUAAAACUCUGUUAUUAGGGAAGAACAAAUGUGUAAGUAACUAUUCACGUCUUGACGGUACCUAAUCAGAAAGCCACGGCUAACUACGUG